UGGGGAAUUUUGGACAAUGGGCGAAAGCCUGAUCCAGCCAUGCCGCGUGCAGGAUGAAGGCCUUCGGGUUGUAAACUGCUUUUGUACGGAACGAAAAGACUCCUUCUAAUAAAGGGGGUCCAUGACGGUACCGUAAGAAUAAGCACCGGCUAACUACGUGCCAGCAGCCGCGGUAAUACGUAGGGUGCAAGCGUUAAUCGGAAUUACUGGGCGUAAAGCGUGCGCAGGCGGUUAUGUAAGACAGAUGUGAAAUCCCCGGGCUCAACCUGGGAACUGCAUUUGUGACUGCAUAGCUAGAGUACGGUAGAGGGGGAUGGAAUUCCGCGUGUAGCAGUGAAAUGCGUAGAUAUGCGGAGGAACACCGAUGGCGAAGGCAAUCCCCUGGACCUGUACUGACGCUCAUGCACGAAAGCGUGGGGAGCAAACA
RNAcentral lists this ribosomal RNA (427 nucleotides) under uncultured bacterium. Its description in RNAcentral is "bacterial SSU rRNA". It matches the Rfam family "Bacterial small subunit ribosomal RNA", at positions 355 to 774 of the family's 1533-position model. The record is from RNAcentral.